GGGGUGAUGGAGUACUCCUUAAUCCCCGGCCGCCGCCUCUGAUGCAGUAUCUCGUCAUGGAUACAUGAAUGCGAGAGAUAGGUGUCUUUGUCCUCCGCUUGAUGAUCAUGCCUAUAUAGGGAGUGCUCAUGUUCCGUCGCACCAAUUCCUCCGAUCCAGAUCAGAAUCAACAAAAUCUCAAGCGCCAGAAACGCAACCGACGAGACCCCAGAUCGCCCGACGGCCCUCACCUCCAUCAAGCGGCGCCGG
This 249-nucleotide unclassified non-coding RNA is filed under the name Hevea brasiliensis (rubber tree). Lineage: Eukaryota; Viridiplantae; Streptophyta; Magnoliopsida; Malpighiales; Euphorbiaceae. The record is from RNAcentral.